This 24704-nucleotide long non-coding RNA is filed under the name Volvox carteri. RNAcentral's name for it is "long non-coding RNA (VCAR_LNC002895)". Lineage: Eukaryota; Viridiplantae; Chlorophyta; Chlorophyceae; Chlamydomonadales; Volvocaceae. The record is from RNAcentral.
CAGGUCUCUCCGCCCCCGGCAUUGCACACGCCGUCCCCGCAGCACGUCAAAGUACCGUUGCUGAGGCGCGUGCCGCAGUCCGCCUGGCAUGUAAGGCAGGUCUCACCGCCUGCGGGUGUGUGGAAAAUGCGGCCAGUAGGAUACGACAGCACAAAUGUCGACGCUCGCGUCACACCAGCCACGCAUUACUGUAGUAAUAAAGCCAGCCAGCCAGCCAGCCAGCUGUUCUUCCUCUGCACACAUAGCCGCGAAAAGCAACCUGCCUACCUGAGCAAAAUCCAUCUCCACACACAACGCACGCUCCGCAAUCCGCAGCACACGAGGAGCACGUCUCGCCCGUAGAGCAGGUUCCAUCACCGCACACAACCGGGGCAGGCGGCGGAGGCGGUGGGGGCACAGAUGAGGGUGCCCAACGGAGGCCGAUGAUGUUGUCCCCAGACCCCGACAUGAAGCCGACAUUCGCACUGUAAGAGAUGCGGAAGAAGCCAUUAUCGCCCCAACCGGUGCCCCAGCUGUUCUUGGCAAUCCAGUACGACCUGCACAGUGGGAAACAUGGACACGCACAUGUAGGGGCUUUGCGGCGGAAGCUGGGUUGAGGGUUUUAGUGUCUUCAGGUUUCAAGAUUUUUAGGUAUGAGCCCACUGUAACAACCACACACACAUUCAAAAUGCAGACUGCUACUGUUGAGGUCGUUUUAACAUGGCAUACCAUUAGGUCAUAGCAUCACGUACCAGUGAUAAAGCACGGAACCGCGUCAUGGUCACACGCGAACAUGCUUCAAUUCCCAUCGUUCGAUGUACGAUGAGUCAGUACAGUACUGCUCAAUGCAAAUCUAUAUUAUUGGUAUGCAGCCUCAGCAAAAUAGCCUUUCCUAAAUUUUACUCAUCCUUACCCUGUGUCGUUGUAGCCGAUGGUCACAACCUGUUGGUAACCAGCCAGAGGGCUCACACCGUCCCAGACGUACGGCCUGUAUGUACAAGUUACAAGUUACAAGUGCCGCACGAGUGCGGGGGGGUCCGUCAAAGCCGGGAGGCCAUGGACUAUAUAUUGAAAGUUGAUUACACCGUACGACCGACGGCGGGUUGGGUCCUGCCAACUAGACCCCUCCUCAUCCAGUCACCCAACAUCCGGAGAGACAGAUCAGCCACCACCACCAUCUCAGCAUGCGAAACUUAGUCCAUCAACUAGACCUCAUCUCCACACCUCAGCAGCGUUAGUAAACCUAGACCUCCCGAACAAUGUCGGGGGUCUGACCAGGAAUCAAACCCGGAACCUUCAUAUACACAAAGGCGCCACCAGACCAGACCAUGUAGUUAUGUAGUUAUCAGUCGUUCAUGCGUUCAGCACAUGCCACAAGGAGGCAAGUUCAAAAAAGGAGUUAGGAGCUAGGCACCCCUCAUUCAGGCAUUUUUAUAUUUACUACCGUACACACAAAAAAAACUAGAUAUUCCAGGAGUCGGGCUGCAUGAUGACAAACUAUUACCGUCGUCGUCUGUAAAUGUGUGAGUAUUCAUACACCAUUUAGACUAUCUAUUAUACGUACCAUGUACGGCGCAACCUUUAGGCCAUUCGACUUAUAUAAGAUCUACUUAUUUCUCGGUCCUACCUACGACCUUGUUUAUCGAUGAUAGAAAAAACCUACAGACGGGAGUCAACCUGCUGUGAAUUUGUGCAGCAUGAACUUACUUUGAGCUGACAGGCCAGUAGAAGAAGUCGUUGUAUACAGCAAAGUACGUAAUUACAGCGCCACUCGUACGGAUGUGAUUCUUCGCCUGCGCAAUACAUUAACAGACAGCAUCAGGCAGCACAGCCGUGAAGGGCUUUCUUCCCUGCUGCAUCACGCUCCCUGCUUGGAUGACUACUAAGUUUGCACAGUAGGUGUAGUAGCUGGCCGCUGAAAAGCCUCUCGAGAUGCUGGUGGAGCGCUUAGCGCGCAUUUGUAGUUGUUAUGUGUGCCGAACUGUGUAUCAGUACUACUGUAAUACCAGGCAAAGAGUACUCAGUUGGGAGAUGCCAGGGGAGCUGAUCCCUCUUACAACUACAGCAGGGAAAAACUUGAUCCAAUUUUUGAUCCAAUACCGAACGAGGUUUAUGGUGGGUGCAUAUUCGUCCAAACUUUGCGUAUGUAUGACCAAACCAUGAGUGUGUACGUACAGGUGUAGGGGGGGGAUAUCACCUAUGUCUUAGCUGAAGUCUUGGACAGGCUCAGGAAGCGGAGUGAUGCGAAUAACCUUGCAGAGGGGCCCUUCGAGGCAUGCCUAAAGGACAGAGCAGUGCAGCUUCAGAUAUCUUUCAUGCGGCAAAUUGUAGGAGCUGCCGGACCAACACACCGCCUCCUGUUUGCAGAGCUGUCGCAGCUACCCCUACACUACCACGUUCUCAAGCAGGUUGUGAGGUUUUGGAACCAUGUCCGUUUACAGCGUGGGUCUGUGGCACACCAAGUUUUGCGACAGGAGGUCGCAGAGUCCCUCUCCAACCCCGAAGGGGCCGGAUGGGGGACACUACUCCUCCGUUUUCUAUGUUUUUUGGGGCACGACGUAUGGAAAGAGGCCCCGCAAGGGCUACACGAGGUAGACGAACGAGUGGAGUGGCUGAUGAACAGGCCAAUGCCAGAAGGUGUGAUUUUGGAGUUCAAGGACCGAUUAGUGAGUGGUUGGAAGCAUACGCGUUUAGAUGUCCAGCCUGACGUGUAUCCGUCAGACGGCAAGCAACCAGGAAUCCACAUGGCGAAGUAUAAGCAUUGGAUGGGUCUGGCGGCCGAGCAAGCGGGCAGGAAGGAGGUGCUCCCGCAUAUCACAAUGUUUAUCCCGCAUUCGGCGAAUCGCAAGCUUAUGCAGUUUAGGCUUUGCUGUUGGGCACUGGAGGCUAACAGAGCGCGUAAGGGACGGCGUUAUAUACCUAGGGAGGAGCGAGUAUGCCCUUGCUGCGGCACUGAUAGCCACAUCGAGGAUGAGAAACACAUUUUGCUGGACUGUCCGGUGUACGACAAAAUCAGAUCUGAUAUGGGCUUUCCACGCUUCGAACAUAUGAAGGACGCUAUGAAGUGGGAACCUGAACGCCUGGCAAGGAUGCUGGAACGCAUAUGGUCCCACCGCAACUCUAUCGUUCCCUUUGGUCGUUAGUAUCCUUCAUCACUUGUUUCGUUGGAAGUGCGAGGUAGGAUGGUGCUUAUAGGCGAUUUGGCAGCCCUUGAGCCCUCGGCUCGUACUGGGGUGGUUUGCAGGUACAGGGAACGCACCCACGACCAUGUAACAACAACAACAACCUAUGUCUUUGCCUAAUUGGUGCCAGUAGAAUCAUGUGGAGAGGUUUACUAGGAAAACUGCAUGAUGAACGUGUGGAGGACCAUAUCCACCAGAAUGCAGUCCGACAUAUCGAAACCGGAACCGGGGUCUGGGUUGGGGCAUUCCAGGCGCUACUGUGUCGCAGCGGACAGCUUCAAAAUAAAGCCCGCACAUAUAUCCUGAGAUGGGAAUCCUUGAUAUCUCGGGUAAGCCUUUGCGCCGCGCUGCUACACAUACACUGUCAGACACUCUGUCCACGGAAGUACGGAAGUAUGAAGUACGGAAGUACGGAGGUACGAACGUACCACGGUGAGAUCUGUGAUGUAGGCCUUUUUGAAAAUACCGCCAGCUCGCCUCUCCGGUGCAGAAUGAAGUGUGCAGGUCGGCACGCUUGGGUUGUACGGAUAAUUAGCCUCGUAUGGUAUGGUCUUGACUGCAAGGGCCUUUGUGGCUGACGUUGCAUACCAGCCGUUAUCGCAGGAUGCUGCUGUGUCCACGCCGUUGCAAAAGAAGAGCCUGCGGGUGUAGCAGCAGCAGUUGCAUACAAACACACAUAAAUCUCAACUCAGGGAGCGUUGUGCAAUUGACGACUUGCAUGUAUUUCGGGAUCACUUUGCCACCUUGUUAAACCCAGGAGUUGGGGAUACGGGUGUUGAAGGUGCACAUCGGCUCCUUAACUAUAUAUUAUUUCUGGGGCCCCUUUGGGAGAGGGUGCUUGGCAAGCAUGUCGGACUGUCAUGGACAGGAGGGCACGGGCAGCUAGCAUCCUGGAUGAGCCUUUCACCUUGGAGGAGGUAGCGCGUGCUGUCGGUAGGUUACCAAACGAGAGGGCUCAUGGGCACCAUCGGAACGUUACCGUUAUGCACGCCUCCCACGGGUGGAUGAGCAGGGCAGGCAGGGAACGGAGGUGAACUGUAUCGUUCCAGCGCUGGACGUUUUGUUAUUAGAGCACAUCAGGGCAACUGGUGACGUCACCAGUUGUGGAAAGUCGACUUUCCACAGCAGUUUACCAAAACGGUGGUAUCCCCAAUUUUGAAGAAGGGUGACCAUUGGUGGCAGGAAGUUAUCGGGGCAUUGCAGUUGGAGGAGCACUUGUGAAAUGCUAUGCGUCAGUGAUUCUUGACCGUCUGGUACGUGUUGAGGAACCUGCGGCACCCAUGCCAAGCGGGUUUCAGGGGGGGUGUUGGCACCGCUCAUCACCUCUUUGUCAAGCAACACCUGGUCAGGCGGCAUCGGAUCACGGGGCAGCCGCCGUUGAUAAUAGUACAGAUUGACUUUGAGAAGGUAUUUGGUAGGGUGCCUCACGAGCACAUGUGGCUUCGAUUGCAGAAGAGGGGGAUUAGCGGCCCCAUGCUAAAUGCUCUGAGAAAAGCGUACGAGAAGGUGUCCAUGGUGAUUAAGGUAAAUGAGAAAGUGGGGGGAGAGUUUGAGUCUAAGCAAGGCGUGAAGCAAGGGUGUCCUUUAUCUACGGCCGACGUGUGAAUGCGGUGCUUUGCAACCCAAGAUCGAGCAUUUCUGUUGUAUGGCUGCCAGGUGUAGGGCCCUUUUGCGCUGGCAGAGGUCGUGGACAGGGCUUGAAGGCGGCGGGACAAAGCCAACCUUGCGGAGGGCAUGUUCGAAGCCCGUUUGAAGGACAUUUGAAGGAUAGCGCAGUCCAGCUGCAGAUUUUAUUCAUGAGGCAGGUAGUGGGGACGGCACGGCCAUCCCACAGGCUGUUGUAUGCGAAGCUGGCUGGACUCCCCUUACAGUAUUACAUGGUGAAACAGAUUCUCCGUUUCUGGAACCGCCUUCAAAAGCAAGUGGGGCCCAUUGCUCAUGCAGUUUUACGGCAGGAGAUAGCGAUGCCCUGACCAACCCGGAAUGGGAGGGUUGGGGAACUUCAAUGUUGCGACUGUUUUCCUUCGUGGAGUGCAAUAUUUGGAGCGGAAUACCGCAAGAAGUCAUGGGGGUAAAGGAGCAUGUCGACUGGUUGUUGAGUAGGCCUCUACCCGAAGGAGCGAUGAUAACUGCACUAAGAGAGCGUUUGAUGAGCGGCUGGGACCAUACGCGUCCGACUGCCCUGCCAGAGGAGUACCCAUCAGAUGGGGAGUGCAAAGUAUAAGCACUGGAUGGGGCUGCCCUUUUCGGGAGCCGCAGCCGUCAUGUGGCCAACACAUGCUAAGGUUUUCAUUCCUCGUUUAGCACAUCGUAAGCUAAUGCAGUUCCAUUUAUGUUGCUGGGCUCUGGAGGCAAACAGAGCACGAAGGGGCAAGUACCAUGUCCCCAGGGGGCAGCGGUUUCGCCGCUGUUGUGGUACUAAUAGCCGAAUCGAGGAUGAAAAACACGUGUUAUUGGAAUGCCCAGCUUAUAAUGACAUCCAUGCUGAAGAGGGAUUCAAUCAUCAACAGAGCAUGUCGGAGGCCAUGCAAUGGGAACCAGUACGUCUGGUGAGGAUGUUGGAACGUAUGUGGGCUCACUGAAACUCAGUUACCCCGUGGUAAUUCCUGUUCUCCGUGGCUUUUAGGUGUAUAGAUAUUGCCGUUGGGCCUUCGGCUCGUAUGGGUAGUCUUACAGGUAUGGGGUCAUGCAACCCCAACCAUCGACAAUCAUCUUUGCCGGUUGUCAACAGCAGUGUAUCCAGAUCAACAGCAGCGCAACUUUUAGUCACAUCGGCAGCUAGAAGCAUUAACAGCAGCAUCAGCACUUGUAGUUGCAGCAGCAGUGCAUGCAGCUGCAGUGGUAACAGCAGCAGGGACAGCAUUAUUCGCGGGUUAGCCACAGCAGCAGGGAGAUAUCAUCAGCAGCGAAAGCAUUAUCAGCAGGGGCAGCAUUAGCAGGAUUAGCAGCUGCUGUGGCACAUACGUACCAGUGCUCCGACAGGUCGAUGUUGGCUGCAGACAUGUUGCCAGCCACCGCCACUGCCGUCUCAGCUAAGCCUGUGGUGGCGAAGGCCACACAUGAGCCGCAGCUACCUUGAUCUUUUACUGGAGAGACAUAAUUAUACGAUCCAUUCACACGGGAAUCCCAUGCCGGAUAUGCCACCGCUUUAACGACGUCCGUGUAGGUGUAGCUGCCCAUCGUGGAGCUAGAUUGGGCCAGAGGGGUCUGCAGCAGAUACAUGGUGUAUCGGUUAGCCAACCCGCCAACCGGCCAUGGCAUUAGUUAGGUGUACAGUUGGUGGUUACAAGCAGUGGUUACAUACAGUGGUUCCUAACAGUUGUAAUGAGUUGGGAAGUGGUCAUGGCAGGUCGUAGUGGUAGCUUCAAACCUCGAUCAAACACGCUAAUAAUGCGCGGAUCUUCUUGGGUGGUACCGAUUUAUUACUUCUCCAGGGUUUAGGGUUUAGGGUUGGGAAUAAUGCCUUUCCAAGAACCACACUUACGGAUAUGGCCAAGCAGAACAUUUAAUUAUUGCGGGAUCCAUGCAAAAAGCGACAGCGCUUAUGAAGACGAGAAGGCACAUAACGAACCCACUCCAUGCACGAACCUUUGCAUCAGUGAACGCCUUGCUGAUGUCGUCCCGAGACAAACUCUCCGCGUUACGAGGGUCGAACUUCUUUCCUUUCAGCUUUGCCGAAACCUGACAGGGUAAGGUUCAUUGUGCAAAAGAGUAUGUCUGUUUGAAUGUAUGUGCACGCCUUAGCAUAGUUAGAAACAGGGUUUACAGUUUUUACCCACAAGCUGUAAGCUAGCCGUCAACCAGCAUGGCAUACAUACACACCUAAACCUACAGUCGAAGCCACACAGUUACCCGCAGUUGCUCACCAUACAUACUCCAACGCACAGCCUGCUAUGGUAUGCCGGGCAGUGGACAUUUAUGUGCCCGUGGCACCUCAAUUACAUACAGGGACUCUUUUUCAAGGACGUAAAAGCACUCAAACAAUGACACAGGCAUAUAUUUACGACAGCUGUACUCACGCGUACCUAGCGCAUUCAGACUUGAUCAAGACAUACAUACACUCCUACGCGUGCAUAGCUGCAUACCUUGCUCGCGGCCGCCGCGGCUGCCAUCAUGUCCAGGGUCUUCUUUGCAGCCGCCAGGCGCAUAGUGUCCACAUUUUCGCCGUCCUGUGCGGGGUGGCGUCAGAAGGGCACAAAAAACGCCUACAUCAACAUGAAGCGCUAAUACUGAAAAAUUGCGAUUCUGCCCGAUAAAAAGUUAGGGUUAGCAUCACCUUCCUCACUGUUGCAGAGCGAAUGGCGUCUUUUUGUAUACGUACACAGGCACGUGGCGUGUUAGUGGAUAAAUGCGGCGGUGAUUACAUAUUGGCAUGCAUGGGGAAGGGCCAUGUGCGCGUGCGGGUAUGCUUGAGGAAGGAGCGUGAUUGAGAGCGGCGCGUGUUUGGGACAUAGCCAUGUUUAGGCACCGGGCAGCUGAUAAACAAACAGCGGGCAUAACAUCCUAGCGACUCACGGGCAGGCACAGGCCUGAAAGAGUUCGCUUGGAGACGUAGGUGCCGUCACAUGGCUUCACGUCAGCAGCGCUACCAUCCAUGAUGGAGAACGCGGGUUGCAUGGGGGCAAUCAGCAGAUCACCAGCGGCAGUGAAGGCGUUGCAUCGCGGGGUCCUCCUGCAAUCCGCUGCGAGGCUGGCGGGGGUCGCACUCGCGGACGCGGAGCUGCUAGGUGACAAAAUGUAAGCUGCCGGGAUUUCUUGCAGCUGGUAGAAAUCGUAGCCGUCAACUGCUGGGCAGGUGGUUCCUGUUGAGGAAGACGUCGCCAAGGAGGCGAGCAAGGUUGAUAGGGCGAGAAAUGAGAAAAUGGAGAGUUGAUGUGGAAGAAUGAUAUGGGCGGUGAUCAGCAGGAAACGAUUCCGUGGAGUAAGUUGCGACAGCACCUGGAGGGAAUGUGUGAAGGGUCAUACAUCUACAGGGACGGAUUACCACCCGGGAGAGAAGCGCAUAUCCCUGUAGUGGGGGGCAAAGGAGUGUCAUCCAGAGGGGAGGAGGCAGCAGGUUGUGCGGUGCUGCUUACGCAGCUGUACUAUCCGCAACAAUAAUGCGGUCGGAGGUAAGAAAUGACGGUAAUGAAGGUGACAGCGGUAACGAAGGUAACAAAGGUAACGAAGGUAACGAAGGUACUGAAGGUAACGAAGGCAACGAAGAUAACAAUUGAGGGCAUGGAGGGUAAUUGCCUUGGCCGACAGACAUUGUGGCUGUUGGUGAACGUGCAGGCCUGAACUUAUACCCGACCGCCAUGCUUAUAAGCGCUAGGGAACACACAGCGGCAAUAAACUGGACUGCAAUACAGCGGUGAUGCCACUUGGGUACCUACCUUGGCUGCUUACGAGUCCCCAAAGGUAGAGCAUUGCAGGAAUAAAUAAAGCUAUAUUCCUAAGCGUUGACAUAACUCUGGGCGCCAUGGCUUCUGUCAAAUCCUGAAGGUGGCAUCCAUGUAUGGCGACGACGGGAUCCAGAGGUGAAGCUCUGUGCGCAGGUAUGCAUAUGAGAACAUAGAAGCCACCUUUGACUGAAACUUACCUAAGCGUGCCUCGCACAGCUCGGCGGGUGGAAUUGCCCUAGAGCUGCGAGUGAGGUACUGUCUUACUUAAGGCGCAGCAAAGCUUAAAUUAUUCUCCUCAGAAACGUUUAGGAUAUUUGAAGUAAUUUUGGCCACGUAGGCUACCGCAAACAGUGGGCCCCUGCGUUUUAUAAACCUAUGUCGUACGUUAAGAAACCCUCAAUAUUUACCGUACUUAUGCCUACUGCACUCACAGCGCUCUUCUGCAGCUCACAUGCUUUCUGGGGCUUACACACACACCAAGCAGAUAUCUAGCUGGGUGUGUGGUUGUUACAGUGGGAUCCAGACUCACGAAGAGCAAAAAUGUCUCCUGCAUAGUAUUCAUGAUCUCACGGCCUUAUGAGUGGAUUGUUGAAAUGACCGCUUGCGUGGUUUGCCUGCAGAAUUCACAGGUUAGAUCUCGACUAUUAUCUUUAGGACUUACAAGAAAAUGUCCAUGUGUGCUCCGGUGUAGCGUGCAUCAACGAAUCCGCAUACCGCUUCCUCUCGACUGCUCCAAUUUAAGUUUCAAAGUUGAUGACGAAAUAAUAGUUUCUGUUGGAAAUGACUGACACUCUGUUCUAAAUGGUAACUAUGACUGACACUCAAAUACUGGAAAAUGGUUACAGCAGUAAGGGGAUGUUUCCACUUGGAUUAAAAAUCGCGGAUUAAGGUUAGCGCAAUUAGUUAGCGAUUUCCGCCUGUAUUCGCGCGCUUCGCGGAUUAAAUAUAGAUUAUGCUAUGAAAUGAGCAUCUUCAAGCAUUCUUCAAGCAUUCUUCAAGCUCAAACUUGGUGGGAAAAAAUUGCUACCUGGUGGCCACCACCUGCACGCAUCAAAUUGACAAUCUCGGAUUAACACUUCUUACGACGCCUCAUAAAAACUCCGAUUAAUAGGUUGGAAGGUUAUCCUUUAUAAAGGCUGUAAGUGUUCCUAGUUUUGUAGAAGCUUUUUGUUCGGCAUUACGCACCACACAAGGUGCUGCAAGGUUCAAAAGGUGCUGCAAGGCCUUCAUGUUGAUACUCGAUAGUCUUUUAAAUGUCUGGCAAUACUCGUUUUGUAUUUUAUGCACGGAAUGGCAAAUGCUGUACCUCAAUCCGUUCCUUAAUCCAGACACGGAUUGGCGCAGAUUGAAAAUACCUUAACCCGUGACUUUUAAUCCAAGUGGAAACACCACCUAAUAGGACCCAACGGGGUUCCGCCGCUUUGCUGGUCUUAACAGUUACCUUAAACAUUUAGUGCAAUAUCUGUGUAAUCUUACUUGAUAAAUUAUAAACAGCUUGGAAUUAAGCAAGAGGCAUGCAGAGGGCUAUCCGAGCGAAAAGCGUACAAUCUCGUCUGCCCUGUAAUCCAUGGGUUGCCUUACUGGAAUGAAAAGGAAAUAUUGAAACAUUAUAAAACAGAGCAAUGUUAAGGAGGGUUACCGCGCGAUGCACCUUGCUUGCCAUGUAAGCCAUGAACAAAUCAAUCAAGGUCAUCAUAAUUAUGUUUCUUUCUCAGACGGAUAUAAAACUCUGAACUCUGGUUGUGAGUGCUGCCACGUGCGCUAAUGCCGGUGUGGGAGGCAAUGCCUGUUCCUGCAGUAGGCUCCCACAAGUGGUUAGGGUUGUGCCGGUAUUAGAACAUUAGAACUAAUAUUAGAAAAAAUAUAAUUAGAAUCUAAUAAGAAUUUUAGAAGACCCCGUUUAGAACGUAUUAGAACAUCCUAAUGUCGUACGGACAUUAGAACGGCCGGAAAGCCGUAGCUUUAAGGUGCAUCAGCGGUUCUACUGCGUGCAUUUUACACGAAAAUGUCAGAUAGAGGUGCGGGGCCAUCAAAGCCACCCCUUCCUCAUCGGAAGGCGGAAGCAUCAGGGCCAAUGUACAAGUAUGGCAACAAGGAACUUGAUGCAAAAGCGUAUGCAGAAGCUCUGACCUCCGCAAAGAAGAAGGGUCUUGCAGCUUAUUGGACUUCUUUCAACGUUCUGCGGCCGUUUUUGCAUUCCCCUUAGCGAGCAAGCACUCCCCGGCAGUGAUGUGGUGAUUUUGUGCAAAUAGGGACGUAAAUGGACAGGUUUGGCGGCGUUCUUGGUUGUUUCCGCAGCGGUCUGGCGUGGGUUUGGCUAGCAGGCACCAGAUUAGCCCUUCCUCUCUGUGUUUUUGCAUUCCCCUUAGCGAGCAAACACUCCCCCGGCAGUUAUGUGGUGAUUCUGUGCAAGUAGGGACUUAAAAGGACAGGUUUGGCGGCGUUCUUGGUUGUUUCCGUAGCAAGUCUGGCGUGGGUUUGGCUGGUAGGUACCCUCCCCAGGCACCCGACCGGAGUAAAUUUAAUUGGAAAUGCGUGCGUUUACAUCUGUGAUGGCCUAUACAAAAUUUCAGGUUCAACGGACCCCUCCCUGAAAAGUUGUCGAGCGUCUUCUAAUAUUAGAUCCUAAUUUCUAAUUAGAAUCUGAUAAGAAUUUAGAUUAGAACGGAAAGCAUUCUAAUGUCAGGAACAACCCUACAAGUGGUGUGGCUGCAGGCUGCACAGGUGCUGGAGCAGGCCCGCAUUGCGGUGGGGCCACAUCUGGAUCCACACACACACUGGUGGCCCGUAUGGUUGUGCCCCCCAUACUGCUCAUACAGUGGUGGCCAGUGCAGCUGCAGCGUGGCAGCCCACUUAGGUAGCAGUGGCUGAUGGGUAUUAGAACCAAGUUGUGCCUGGAGGGUACGAUUGCAGUGCGUGAAAUGAACCAAGCAUGCUGGCCAUACUCUGAAGCAAGCUGUUUGUAUUGCCAAGGACAUGACAUCCUUGUGUGUAGAGGCUCAGCACACCGACCCAUUAGCAAGCAUUAUAAUACAAUAGCUAGCGGCACAUGAGGACUUUAUUCGGCUAAUUAGGUAUCUGCAGCAGGCCAAUCUGACACACGAUGGAUGCCUGGGAGCUGUAAAAAGCAUCUGAUGGUAUCAGGACAAACUGGUACCGAAGUCUGUUUUUAAGCCUGUGAGCCCGGCCGCAUCUGCUGGAUUGAGUGCCAGUCAGCUUGAUCGCAGAGUCUGUGGACACCAGCACACGGUUAACUUGUGUUGCUGUGGCCACCCAGCACCAUGCACGGUUCUGUAUCCACAGUGUUGUGCUCAGCCGCUUUGUGGCUUCCAUGGAUCUAGCUGCAGAGCUAACUAUACAUCCUUAGCAGCCUUCAUGCCGGUAUGCAGGCCAUGUUUUUGGACCUAGUGGUGCAGUGCUGGCUUCAAAGCACAGCACUGUUGCCUGGUCCGUUACCCACACCAGGGGGUCAUCCAGUGCACCCCGCCUUCCUACAGAAACCAGCCAAGCAUUGGCACCGUGUUAUUGGUGGGAUGUCAUGCCCUGGAAUGCGAAACGAUUUUUACACCUGCCUGUACGGCUGUUCCCAAGCGGGUGUACUGGGGCCGCGGGACAUUGAGGCUGCCAUCAUGGACAUGGGAGGUGACACAGAGUAAGCGGUGGCUUGGUGUAGCAGCCGGUACACAGUACGGUGCUAUAAAUAUGUGCAGAGUGCGACCGCCAGCAACCCGAGAGACCUUUUCAGUGGUCAGCUGCUACAUUUGGUACCCGGCAUGGCGGUCUGAUAAGUUCAUGUGGGUCAGGCAAAAGCAAGGAUAACGUGUUGGAUACCCUGAGGGAAUUCUGUGUGCCGACUGAUCCACUUAAUAGGGUCUGAAAGCUCAUCAUGCACCUGUCGAUAUCUGGUCCGCCUGACAAAUGUUGACCCACAUGGGAAUCCUGACAUGGCACCACAGGCACAUUCUUCCAGGAGAACCAGCUUCUGGCAUACUAUGGCAAAAUUGACUCCAUCUGGUCUGUUGUCAGUAGUUUCUCCUCCUCAGCUGAACAGCUGUGUGCCAUGUGUCAGGCCCAAAUCACCAAUUGAAGUGUUCAGCCAAUGCUGCUGCACUGCGAGUUGCUGUGACACGGUGAGUCAUGGUCGAACUAGGUGUCAUUGUCCCCUUCUGUUUUGCCGAGGGACUGGAGUUUGCAGGGCACAUUGAGCUGUUUGAGCGGCUCAAGGCAGUCACAUCCGCAUUGAUCACCGAGCAGGCAGAUCAGCUGGUGCUGGACAGGGAGAUUAAGAGGCAGGCAUCCCUUCUCCAGGCUGAUAGAGAGAGGCUACAGGUGUACACAUCACGCAGUGAACUCGUCCGGCUGCUCGAAACAUCACAACGAGGUAUGAUGCAGUGUCAAUAUGCAUGAGUAGUGUAGGCUUGCAUGUGUCUGCACAUGCCGUGACUUGUUAACCAUUGGAUCUCAGUUGCCCGUUAAUUCUGAACAUGGCCGGUCCACUUGUGCACGAUUUCAUGUCUCUCAAUCUGAACGGGCCAUCCCUCAGCAAGACAUUCAAGGACAGGGAGCACUUGGUGUGGUUUCAGCUGGGAGAACUAGAGGCAAACCUACAUAAUGUGCAUUGGUGUGAACAUGUCCAGCGGUUGUGGCGCCAUGAGCACUCUGGGAAAACGGGGGUCAUUUUACCUAUAAAUUUGGGUCAAUCCACCCGUCAUUUGACAGAAAUUAUGGGUCUGUGACAUGUUACACGUCCCGUAAUUUGAGCACAAGGAUACGGGUGAACAUUUAUGCACCCAUGGCCAUAAACAGGCCGAUUGGCACAACUGGAGAGGCGUGGCUGCCAAAGGCAGACAGCUUGUCAGUAUAAGUCAGGUACAGGCUUUGGCGGUCCUUGAGGGUCAGCAGGCUGCUUGCACACUGGCUUGUCACGCCAGCCAUGUUGGCCAGGGUGUCGAUGGGGUAAUUGCCUUCACGGUUGGGGUGGAGGAAGAAACCCGCCUCCAGGGAGAACCAGAGGUGCAUGCCUGCCUCGGCAUUUGAGGCAGUCUGGUGCGGGUCGCCCUGCUUGCGCCUUGCCUUGCACCUGUAGCUGCUGCCACACCACCCUGAGCUGUCCCGGCGGCCGCUGUGGUCACUGCUGCCCCAGUGUCUGACCAUUUCUGCAUGUAAAGUGCCUGGAGCCCACGCAGGUCCGACAGACUGGCGCCAGCACCCUCACUCCCACCCACAACAGAAAGGCUGGUUAGCAUCUUGGAUGCCACGUUCACCUUCAUGGCGAGCUUCUGCAUCAUUGCAUUCCUGUCCUGACCGUCCUUAGUGCUAUGGUUGACCCCCUUCUUUUCUCCGUGUUGGUUCCCCUUGGCAUGUGUCAGAUUCCUGUGGUUUGGUGAGGGGAGGAGCUGGGCCUUAUCCACUAGCACCUAGAUCAUCAUGAUUCCGGUCUGGCAGUUUGAUCAGUUGUCUUCAGAAGGCCCUUCAGUUGGUCCCGUGCAUGUGUGGUGGCUGGCCUCUGCAUCCCCGCCAUGCUCCAUUCACCCAACCACUCACAUGCGGACACUGCUCCAGAGAUGCUGCAGCAGGUACUUCUGGUCGGGUGCCACCUGCCCAAUGCCCGGAACGAGCCAGGGGGCCUUGCUCCUCUGGCAACCCUGCACAACCUGGCUGGUCAGCAGGUCUGUGUGGGCAGAGAGUGCGGCCUCAUGUGCACCCACGGACACCAGGUCUAGCCACAUCCACACCAUCACCACCAACUCCCCGUCUGGUGUCGGUGCCCCAGAAAAGGGCAGGUCUCCAUUGUACUCGGUAGUCAGGAGCAUGUAGCAGAUGAACCCUUUUGGGUGGUUGGCAGGAGAGAUGCAGGGGAGGGGGGGUGGCACCACGGUGUGGCCAAGACAUCAUUUGGCCUCAUUGGUGGAGCAGCGUACCAAGCAACAAGGCUCAGGGCCAGUGGGCCUAUGGAGUCGAACGUUCAAGCGCCACCCCCCAAGGGGCUAAAGGGGAAAAUGCGGUGUGUGGGCUCUUGGAACAUGUAGAACAUGUAAGUCGAAUCUGACAUUCAGCACCCAAUAACAGGACACAGGCUCACUGGUGAUCAGGUCUGUGUAGGCCAGCCCGUGCAUGCUCCCAAUUGGAAGCACCCCAUUGUCCUCCUUGUCCAGCAGGUGAAGCUUCCUGUGCUGAUGUCGUGUGGCCAUAGGCCCUCGAAGCCUGGCGGGGUCCGGUUUGGCCAUGCCCCAGCAUUAGUCAGUGCUUGGCACAGACUUCCAGUUCUAGUCUUGAGCAGUACAAGCCAGGGUAGCUAGGGCCUGGAAUCCAGUACAACCCAGCAAGUGUCACCCAAGUGGAAAUUUACUAGGUGCACCAAAGUCCAAGCCAACAGGGUGGGGAACAUACAUUGACACUUCAGCUCCUUGAAGGCCUUGCAGUUUUCCUGCUCCAUGAUCCCACACACCACAGCACGGUCGGCUGUGGUAGCAUUCGGGUUGAGCAGGGUCGCCAGGCUGGUGCUGACGUCCCGCCUGCCACCACUGCUGCCUGCGGUGGCAGACAAGGUGCCAGGGCCCACAGAAGCCGAUGAGGCAGCCUGCCCUGAGUGGCCCCAUAAAAGGCUGCAAUCGAAGCGUGUGUUUGCAGCCCUGCAGCAUCGAGGGUGGCACUGUCUGGACUGAAUGACACAAGCGAGCAAGCUAUGUAUUUACAAGUACUCCCCCACCCUUCAUGUGUCGAUUGCUCGGUAAUCCGCGAGGCCCCAAUCUUCUGUGGUGAUUCUGGCUGCUGAUGACGCUGCACUCUGCCUGAAAUUGACCAAAUCAGGGCAGUGCUGUCCUCCUCAUAGGAUAGCAUGCCACAGGGCAGGCUCCCCCUGAACCGCUUGACUGCAGCAUUGACAUCCUCGUGCGUGGAGAACUUCCUCAGAAAGCUUGUUCUCAAUGCUGUCCCGGUAACAUCAAAGAAUGGAGGCGCUACCUGGACCUCACUGCCGUCUGUGUAGGGCAUUGUUAACGAGACAACAUCGCCUGCUGACCUGACGCCUGCAGCACCGGCCAUGGAGCUCACCCUUUCCCUUGAAGUAAUAAGUUGCAUUCUGCUUCUUGAAAAUGCUCGCUGAUAUCAUGUUACCUCCCAGCUCAAAACUAAGCGGUAUCACGUUUUGGCUCUGCUGAUCAUAGGAUUCCCCUAAAGCACACCGGAGUUCAAUACUUCCGGGAAAGUCUUGUUCCAUUUUCCAGCUUAUGGAACUAUAGAGUUGCACUUGUCCAGGUCAAGACGGCGCGGAAGCUAUUGGUCCGUCCUGUAUCCUAGAGUCGUGGCUAGUGUAAACUGUAUCAGGUAUAACAAUGGAAUACAAGAACAUAGAGAGCGAGGCAGGUCGUGAUAAGACUUGGCUGAUGACAUGCAAGUAUACAAGUACGGCGCCCAUACUAGAAUACCGCCAACUCGCCAUCAGUACUAUCCCUGCGAGGUUCGCGUGGAUCUUCGUUUCUCUUCGCUGUUCAAUCUGUUCUGUGUAUCCCUGCUGGUCGCUUGUGGUGCGAUCACUGCAGAUGAUUCGAACUCAUCAGCUUCUUAUCGGGACGGCAGAGCAUCAGUAUCAGCAGGUCGUCGAUGGUCGUCGCAGGUCGUCGCAGUUCUGGGUCUGCCCCAGGGACUCGGUGAUUAGAGGCCCGCUUGGACACAAGUAUGUCUUGCCAUGCAAUGCCACCCUGGGGACUUCCCUCAAGUUGCCGGGUGACGGCGGUAAACUGGACUUCAUGUUUAUGAAGCUGAAGGUGUACUCCGUCUACUGUGUCCCUGAGGGAGCGGUUCCUGGUGGGUGGGUGAAAGCUACGGUGCCGAGCCUAAAAGAUGUGUACGGGGGGAGCAUCAAGGAAAGCCAGCUCUAUUUCCUCCUGUCCUAUGAGGGAAAGGAGCAGGAGUUGUGCAGACGGCUCCCCACCUUGUCUGCGGACGAGGUCGAGAAGAGCAUGGUCGUUUUCAACCCUUUCGGGUGGUGGGGUCUUGCUCGACUCAGAUGUGUUUAUCACACCCGAGCCGUACGGUGAGUGGCCACCGCCCGUUGAAAGGGUUGAAAACUACCAUGCUCUUCUCGACCUCGUCCGCAGAUAAGGUGGGGAGCCGUCUGCACAACUCCUGCUCCUUUCCCUGAUAGGACAGGAGGAAAUAGAGCUGGCUUUCCUUGACACUCCCCCCGUACACAUCUUUUAGGCUCGGCACCGUAGCUUUCACCCACCCACCAGGAACCGCUCCCUCAGGGACACAGUAGACGGAGUACACCUUCAGCUUCAUAAACAUGAAGUCCAGUUUACCGCCGUCACCCGGCAACUUGAGGGAAGUCCCCAGGGUGGCAUUGCGCAGCAAGACAUACUUGUGUCCAAGCGGGCCUCCAAUCACCGAGUCCCUGGGGCAGACCCAGAACUGUGACGACCUGUGACGACCAUCAACGACCUGCUGAUACUGAUGCUCUGCCGUCCCGAUAAGAAGCUGAUGAGUUCGAAUCAUCUGCAGUGAUCACACCACAAGCGACCAGCAGGGAUACACAGAACAGAUUGAACAGCGAAGAGAAACGAAGAUCCAUGCGAACCUCGCAGGGAUAGUACUGAUGGCGAGCUGGCGGUAUUCUAGUAUGGGCGCCGUACUUGUAUACUUGCAUGUCAUCAGAAGUCCACGAAAGCACGCUCGGGCGCCACAUGAUCGAAGUCUUUGGUGAGCCCGUGGAGACUGAGCACAUAUGCUACAUGAACAACCUGCCGGUUGCUAGGGCAAUGCGAGAUGGCGCUGGCGAGACCAUGUGGUGCUUGUCACGCCCCCAUGAUUCAAAGCAAGCUCCGGAUAACAUAACAACACUGCGUGCGCUGUUGUUGCAGGGCGUGUACUGAUGCCGAGGCGCUGAAUCCAUCAAGGUGCGACCUGGUGGAGCGCCUCACGUCCUCGGUGCAGGCUUCAGUACCGGAGGUGUUUGGGAGUGACACCUUCACCGACAGCGGUGGCGUUGGUGCCCAUCACGUGUACCACGGCAGCUGCCAGCUGGCUUGCGACAUGCUGGUGGGCAGCAGGUGGGUCCGUUCCGGAUCUAUCAAUGACUACAAGUAGUAUUAAGGCUUGUCUACCUUCACCUCACAAACUGCUCAACCGCAACUAACAAUAUUGAUACUGCACACCUGUUGCAAACAAGGUCGGACUUCACCACGCCGAUCUGUAACUAACGCCUGGUGUCAAAACCGUGAUGCCCCUGCUGCAGGCACUCCCGCUCCUGCUCCCAUGAGGAUUACCCGCUCCAGGCCCCAAGCGUUAUCAUUGUAGCAUGGGGGCGGAAAAUAGUGUGGGUUGCACCGGGGUCGUUUUCCCAGCUGCUCUGCAGCCCUGCCUGCUCCAUGAGGCAAGGGAAGCUGCUGCUGGACUCAAUGUACAACAUCACACCCUCAUCCUUGGAGGACCUCGUGAAAGAGUUUGGGGGGGCCAUCUAUGAGUUAGGCCCUGGUGAUGGCACCGUUGUCCCGCCUGGAUGUGUCCAUGCAGCCUAUAACACUGAGCCAUGCUUGUCCAUUAACGUUAACUGGAUGUUCUGCAGCCAGGACCAGUGGGCUGCAUGCUUAACCGCGACCAGCCUGACGUGCCUGCAAACACGCAAGUAUGGCUUCAGGGCCCUGGCCAGGGAAAGGCUACCGCAAGGCUCUGACACUGACAUCGAGGCGCUUGCUGCAGACCUGGAGCAGAAGGUGAAGUCCGUGGCAGGAAGCACCGAUUCGGUCCUGGGAUGCCACCACUUCGACCGGGGCUUCACGUCCUGGAUAGGAGACCGGCUGGCCUCACACAUGUCCAUCGUGGCUGCACAAAAGGUGUGGGGGAGGGGCUUGGGCUGGGGGGCGUAGGAGGGAUGCAAGCGUGAGUGUUGGGGUGGGGGGCCUAUCUGGGGAUAUAAGUUGAGAUGCGCCUGAUCAUGCCCCCCUGAAUACAGGCGGGGUCCCCAUUGCCCUCGAGUGACUGGCCCAUUUGGCACGGCCCCCGUAUUCUGUACCCUACUGCUUGUAGAGCGGUUAAAUGGUUGCCUCUUCAAGGGUUGUGAUGGUGGUUGCCCUCCUCCGGGGAGACGUUCCUGGCCUGGACGGUCUCCUCGUGACAGGGGCCAGUGCCAAAUGGCGGGGGUCAGUGCAAAGAAGCGGACCUAUGGAAGCUGACAGCGUACCUGGUGCAGAUGUAUGCAUGCACUAUAUACAGCUCGGCCGUUGCAUUGACCAACCGAUGCUAGAUGGGUGUUUCAGUACUAAGACUGGGGUAGAGGCUGACAGGUGAAGGCACUGCGAAAAGUGGAAGGGGGUCGUUGAUUUGGGCUUGCAUCCUCUGCAUGUGGAUCAUGACACCUAAAAUGGUGUGUGCACAUAACACGGGACAACCGCCGUUGAUAAUAAUGCAGAUUGACUUUGAGAAGGCCUUUGAUAGGGUGCCUCGUGAACACCUGUGGCUUCGGUUGCAGGAGAGGGGGAUUAGCGGCCCCAUGCUAGGUGCUCUGAGAAAAGCGUACGAGAAGGUGUCCAUGGUGAUGAAGGUAAAUGAGAAAGUGGGGGGGGAGUUUGAGUCUCAGCAAGGAGUGAAGCAAGAGACGUCAACAGUUACGGCUAUCAGGCCAGGUAGUACCUGCCAAAGAUAGCGCUCGCUAUCUGGGCUUGGUAUAUGGGCCAGAACGGCCUUUUAGUGCGUGCCGUCAGCAGUUAUGCCAUGCAGGUCGGUCCGCUAUGUUUUCCUUAAGUGCAAAGUUGGACAAAAUGAAGCUGUUUGCCCCCGAUGUACUAAUGCGGUGUUUUGCAACCCAAGUCCGAGCAAUUCUGUUGUAUGGCUGCCAGGCGUGGGGCCCUUUUGCGCUGGCAGAGGUCGUGGACAGGGUGGGAAGACAGCGGGAUAAAGCCAACCUUGCGGAGGGCAUGUUUGAAGCCUGUUUGAAGGAUAGCGCAGUCCAGCUGCAGAUUUUAUUCAUGAGGCAGGUAGUGGGGACGGCACGGCCAUCCCACAGGCUGUUGUACGCGGAGCUGGCUGAACUCCCCUUACAAUAUUACAUGGUGAAGCAGAUCCUCCGUUUCUGGAACCGCCUUCAAAAGCAAGUGGGAUCCAUUGCUCAUGCCGUUUUACGGCAGGAGAUAACCGAUGCCCUGACCAACCCAGAAUGGGAGGGUUGGGGAAUCUCAAUGUUACAACUGUUUUCCUUCUUGGCGUGCAACAUUUGGAGUGGAAUACCGCAAGAAGUCGUGGGGGUAAAGGAGCGUGUUGACUGGUUGUUGAGUACUCUACCCAUCAGAAGGGAAGCAACCGGGAGUGCAAAUGGCGAAGUAUAAGCACUGGAUGGGGCUGCCCUUUUCGGGAGCCGCAGCCGUCAUGUGGCCAACACAUGCUAAGGUUUUCAUUCCUCGUUUAGCACAUUGUAAGGUAAUGCAGUUCCGUUUAUGUUGCUGGGCUUUGGAGGCAAACAGAGCAUGAAGGGGCAAGUACCACGUCCCCAGGGGGCAGCGGUUUUGCCACUGUUGUGGUACUAAUAGCCGAAUCGAGGAUGAAAAACACGUGUUAUUGGAAUGCCCAGCCUAUAAUGAUAUUCGUGCUGAAGAGGGAUUCGAUCAUCAACAGAGCAUGUUGGAGGCCAUGCAAUGGGAACCAGUACGUCUGGCGAGGAUAUUGGAACGUAUGUGGGCUCACCGAAACUCAAUUACCCCCUUUAGACGCUAGUCUGGGCUGAUGUGCGGUGUUUUCCUUUCCUCCGUGGCUUUUAGGUGUUGUAGUAUUACCCUUGGGCCCUCGGCUCAUAUGGGUAGUCUUACAGGUAUGGGGUCACACACCCCCAACCAUGUAACACACACACACACACACAUAACACGUCUUCGUCGCAAUUAAGCCCGUGAAAUUUUACGGGUGCUGUGCAUUACGGCUUGGGGGAUUACGGGUCAAGACCUUGUGAUUACGGGUAAUGUAACCUGUGGAUGACUUCCAGCACGGGCAACCAACAAAAUGUCACCUAUGUUCUUCCUUAUAAAAGGAAUGCUUUGGCAACUUAAAAAUAAGCAUGUUUACUAUUGACCGGUAAUUAUAUGUGAAGACCACGUGAUUACGGGUAAACAUGAAUUUACGGGUGAAAACCUUCCCCAGAGUGGAGGUGUAAGCUUUGCAUAAGUAUAAUCGACGAUCAAGAGGGUUUCAUCACGGAAUCCCCAUGAUCCCCUGGGCACAUAGGUGCUUCACGUCCUUGGUGAGUUCAGGCAGCAAUGCGUCCCACUGGUCAUCAGUGAAGAUGCAACGGCCAUGCCUGUCCUCCUAGAUAUCGUCAAGUGGGACGGCAAAAACCUUGUGUAUGGUCUCAGUGGCGGCGUGUUGCUGUUACCAGUGCGGAGGACCUUAUCACGAAGAUUAACGAGCAUGGUUUUUCGGCAAGUCAUUCUCCGAGUACAUGGCUGUGUCAGCAGCACCGCAUGGCCUGUACAUGGCAGUGAAUCGACGCGACGGUAGCUCCACUACAGGGCUGCACAAUCGCUCACGUCGGCGGUGGUACAUCUGGCUUAACACAGAAGCGCCAGCCACACCAACAAAAGGUCGAAGAAUGGGUGCUGGCCGAAGUGCUGGCCGCUGUGGACGCGGCCAUUGGACUUGGGCAGCACCUAUCGAAGUCCGGGCAUCGAAUCGAAAGCACCCGAAAGAAGACCUCCUUAUACUGAAUGAAUGGGGUGUUACACUGUUCUGGGCCACACCACAGUGCAGGGCAUGCCCUGCGCAGGGCGCGUGUUUACAUCUCUUAGGGUUUUAGGGUUUCAGUCCAUAUUCAGUAUGACUAUACGGGUUGGUCAGUUCCCUGCCACGCACUAACAAAGUCAUUAUAGUGGAAGAGCUUCUGGGACUGCUGUCUAGGUGUAUGGCGGCGGGGAAAUCAACAGCGACAACAAUUGUACAGCUUCCCCUUUAGGGGAGCUGCAGGACUAUUUAAAGUGUCCUUGUUAGCACCCACCAUCAAUACUCUCUGCCGGCCGUUGCUGGGUACCUGUUAAGUCUUGAAGCAGGAGAGUAUGGGGGCCACCACCUUGGCUACCGGGGUACCGGUAGGCCCCAAGUAAGCGGUGCGAACCAGUGUUAUAUCACGACUUUUCAGAUAAGAACCGAUCGGUUGAUGCAGAUCCCGUGAUAUACCCAGGAUACGACAACCAGAGGGCUGCAGCAGGCCUGUGGGAGGACUGAUGAAGAUGACUCGACAGACACCCAUUUCCGCACGCUUUCCUACUCCACCUGCAGCCUGCAGGUCGCCUGCGUAUGGCCUGGGGCUUUAUCUGAAUAAAGCUGGGACCUGCGUCCCUGGUUCGUCUGUUCAACCGAGCGAGGUCAUGUUUGAAUGAAUUACAGAUAACGUAAUCUAUACGCCCCCCAGUCGUACUGGGGGACUCACCCGCGUGAGGCCCACGUGGGUUCUACAACUGCUAUUUGUUCACUUAUCUCAAUCGGUAUCUUUCAACAUCACCAUUCUGUGGUGAUACUACACAAGACUUGAACGUCAGUUUCCCUUAAGAGGUCAACGCCAGUUACAGCAAGUCAUCAGCUGACUGCAGUCCCUUCACACCCAGCCAAGGGCUCAGGCUGGCACCAUAGGUCCGAAAUUCAUCAGAGACCGACAAGAUAAGAUCAGCAUUGUCAGGGAAAGGAGACCGCGAUAGAAAGCAUGCGAGGAAUGAAAAGCAGGCCUGCAUGUGUGUUAAUUCCAUGCACACAGCUAAGAAUGAAGAUCCACACAUACCAACGCGCACCCUUCAGCGACCCGUGAAGUAAAAUCGGGAACGGUAAGGUUGCGCCACGAAAGUGCAGCAGGGAAACGAUUCUAUAUACAUCUUACAGCGACGUUCGCUCGAGGAUAUAGCGCUUGUCCGCAGUGGUUCAACACAGGAAAAAUGUGGGUUGCUUGGUAAGAAAGCAACGGUGCAAACAAAAGCACCUAACCGUUGAGAGCCGAGUUGAAUCGCGCUGUACAUCAUAAAACCCCCGCUCGUAUAUCCGUCUAUAUCCUCUAGCGCUAAGCCGUGAACACCGGCGGCAAUUUUUCCCAGUAUGGAAUGAGACGUGCGUCCGGAAGACGCUCGGACUCAAAAACGGCCGAAGCCCGUUCAUCCUCGUCCCUGCCUGCUUGACCCGUUCAGACAUGCAAACGCGAAAAUGUACACAAAACAGACUAUCCGACCACGCGUUUACUACACAACAAACCAACCCUAAACAUCUUCAUAUACUAAAUAAAUUGCUCGAUUAGCGUUGCAGUUACACACGCAUGUCGGUCGAAGGAGCCCUUCCAUACCGGCAGCCAGUAGUCGUUACGCACAUGCCAUCAGCAUCACCACAAACCUUUACAGCAUUUAUUUCCCCACAUGUUCCGCCACACUCUUCCAAAAAAGGACGCAUACCCGCGAUCGCUGCCCCUAACAAUUAAUAUUAUUUCCGCCACGGUUCGAUUAUGCAGGAGGAUUAAUUGCGACAUGCACCAGCAGCAGGCUAGUACCCAUGCCCACGGACGCCACCCACUAGCUAAGACAAACUCAACAUCCGGAUUUAAUUAUCGACUAAUGGCAGCAAAUUAACCCAAAGGGCAACAGGCUGCGAGGGUCACGCACAUGACAUCAAUCACUAGGGCCGAUCGGUCUCAUUAAUCCAUAGCAUGAAUUUUUCAUACCUGCUGCCAUGAUACAUAUACUUAUUGCCAGUUCGCCCGGCCGACUGAGCCUCACGUGAUGCAUGAAUUGGAGUAUUAAAAUCACUCGCAUGAAGCCGAAUUAAUUUCGCUCCCCGGUGCCGCAGUACACUGGUACGCACGGCAACCGUAGCCAACUGCAAGUCGUUCCUCUUCACUCUCGCAGCGAAAGGGAAGCUGGCGGAGCCAUGGCAUACUCAGCUGCUCAGCGCUCGGCGGCCGGCAUUACCGUUGCUAGUGGCAGCCGCAGAAACGCCAGGAAGCACGCGAGUCUUCAUAGUCUUGCUACAGUCACGGGAGCAGGUGCCAGUCGUCUCCCCGCGGCUGCUGCUGCAAAUACCGUCUCCUGCAAGAAUGUGCGCGUGAAAGAAGAGGAUGGCGGAACGGAACGCAGUCAGACAGCAGCGAGUCAAAGAUGGCUUAUUAAUCUGUAGACACGUCCAAACAUUUUCGCAGGGCCCGGGAUUUCCAUCCUUUGAUAGUUAUUUCUAAAACUCACACCUGGUUCACAUGCAUGCGGUGUACUGCACUGUGUCGUAAAUGAAAGCAGGAUGGCUAAUGUCCCAAGACUGUGGAAAUCCGUUUGUUAGUUGGGUCCGUACAUGUCUGUACAUGUUGAUCCGUUCGCUUACCCGUAAGAUACCGUACUUACCGCAGAACAGCGGAUCUGAACAGCCACCGCAGUCCAGGGAGCAGGUUCCACACGAUUCAGUGUAACCUUUCCUGGCGCUGGUGCACUUGCCAUCACCGCAAUAGGUACUGCUGCAAGAACCGCAAUCCGUGCAGCCACUGGUGCCGCUGGCGCACUUCUCGCCCAGCGCCGGCUCGCAAAUGCCAUUCCGGUUGCAAGUGGAGCAGACGCCACAGUCGCCUGGGCAGCUGGCGCAGGUCUCUCCGUCCGCAGCAUUACACACGCCGUCCCCGCAGCAUGUCAAAGUACCGUUGCUGAGGCGCGUACCGCAGUCCGCCUGGCAUGUAAGGCAGGUCUCACCGCCUGCGAGUGUGUGGAAAUUGCGGCCAGGAGUAUACGACAGCACAAAUGUCAACGCCCACGUCACACCAGUCACGCACUACUGUAGUAAGCCAGCCAGCCAGCCUGAUAGCCAGCCAGCCAGCCAGUCAGCCCGAUAGCCAUCCAGCCAGCCCGAUAGCCAGCCAGCCAGCCAGCCAGCCCGAUAGCCAGCCAGCUAGCUAGCCAGCUAGCCAGCCCGAUAGCCAGCCAGCCAGCCAGCCAGCCCGAUAGCCAGCCAGCUAGCUAGCCAGCUAGCCAGCCCGAUAGCCAGCCAGCCAGCCAGCCAGCCUGAUAGCCAGCCAGCCAGCCAGCCAGCCCGAUAGCCAGCCAGCCAGCCAGCCAGCCCGAUAGCUAGCCACCCAGCCAGCCAGCUAGCUAGCCAGCUAGCAAGCCCGAUAGCCAGCCAGCCAGCCAGCUGUUCUUCCUCUGCACACAUAGCCGCGAAAAGCAACCUGCCU